Long non-coding RNA from Cebus imitator (Panamanian white-faced capuchin), 340 nucleotides. RefSeq lists it as uncharacterized. Lineage: Eukaryota; Metazoa; Chordata; Mammalia; Primates; Cebidae. The transcript has 3 exons. The record is from RefSeq and is a predicted model, not a curated record.
UCUCUGUCCGACGCAAUCCACUGAAAUGCAAUCUGGGGAUUAUAAAGGGUCAGAUGUUGCCUUUAUAAUAACAAACACCCAGCAACUAGAGGAAUAAAAGUGAGAGGCUCAAGGAAAGAGUUCCCACUUGUUGGUAAGAUUCUCAGAGGCGAGGAACAAUGUCCUCAAUUUGUUUCACUGAUACAAUGCCUGAGUACAUGCCUUCUACUUACUUUUAAAAAAGUUAACUGUAAAACAGCCUGAGGCAGGUCCUUCAAGAGGUAUUCCAGAAGGCAUUGUUGUUAGAAGAGAUGGCAGCUCCACGUGUGUUACUGUCCUUGAAGACCUUCUAGCGGGACAA